GAGCUUCAUGCUUCGAGUCGGGGAAGAAAAGACGGAGGAUUGGAUUUUUCUUCUUCAUAGAGUUUUGGGAAGACUGAGGCAAUCAUUGCUGAAGUCAGUGUUGUAAUGGUGAAUCGGGAUUUUUUAAUGAAGUGGGUUUGAUUACUCUUGACUGUUUUGUGAAAUUGAGUUACGUCUGUGAUUGAAGAAUUAAAAGGGUGUCUAUAGGAUUGAGUAUGCAGAGUGAAUGAAAUUUAUUGGGUUAAUCUAACAA
Molecule: long non-coding RNA, 253 nt
Filed under: Physcomitrium patens
Lineage: Eukaryota; Viridiplantae; Streptophyta; Bryopsida; Funariales; Funariaceae
Description: long non-coding RNA (PPAT_LNC011351)
Source: RNAcentral